ACUCCUACGGGUGGCUGCAGUGGGGAAUAUUGGACAAUGGGCGAAAGCCUGAUCCAGCCAUGCCGCGUGUGUGAAGAAGGCCUUUUGGUUGUAAAGCACUUUAAGUGGGGAGGAAAAGCUUAUGGUUAAUACCCAUAAGCCCUGACGUUACCCACAGAAUAAGCACCGGCUAACUCUGUGCCAGCAGCCGCGGUAAUACAGAGGGUGCAAGCGUUAAUCGGAAUUACUGGGCGUAAAGCGCGCGUAGGUGGUUAUUUAAGUCAGAUGUGAAAGCCCCGGGCUUAACCUGGGAACUGCAUCUGAUACUGGAUAACUAGAGUAGGUGAGAGGGGAGUAGAAUUCCAGGUGUAGCGGUGAAAUGCGUAGAGAUCUGGAGGAAUACCGAUGGCGAAGGCAGCUCCCUGGCAUCAUACUGACACUGAGGUGCGAAAGCGUGGGUAGCAAACAGGAUUAGAUACCCUGGUAGUCCACGCCGUAAACGAUGUCUACCAGUCGUUGGGUCUUUUAAAGACUUAGUGACGCAGUUAACGCAAUAAGUAGACCGCCUGGGGAGUACGGCCGCAAGGUUAAAACUCAAAUGAAUUGACGGGGGCCCGCACAAGCGGUGGAGCAUGUGGUUUAAUUCGAUGCAACGCGAAGAACCUUACCUGGUCUUGACAUAGUGAGAAUCUUGCAGAGAUGCGAGAGUGCCUUCGGGAAUUCACAUACAGGUGAUGCAUGGAUGUCGUCAGCUCG
This 735-nucleotide ribosomal RNA is filed under the name uncultured bacterium. RNAcentral describes it as "bacterial SSU rRNA". It matches the Rfam family "Bacterial small subunit ribosomal RNA", at positions 335 to 1062 of the family's 1533-position model. The record is from RNAcentral.